CAAAACAUCAAUUGACGGGUUUUCUAUAGUAAUUUCGUCGAUUACUUCCUACAGUACUUACUUAUGUAUCCACUAGUAUAAUACGAAUGAUACUAUUGAUACUAUUCAUAGCAUACACCAUUAAUGAUUUUGAUUUAAGGGUAUGUACUUAUUUCAGUAUCCCAAAGUAAAUGAACGGUUCGUCGAUUGUAUCAACUGCGCCUUACCAUGGGAUACUUAAGUAAGUUCACAUAUUCUUUUGUUUCUCUUUGUUCGAUUCCGUUAUUUUCUGGAAUGUGUGUGAUGCAAAAAAAGCUUGGUGGUUGACAAAUUUCAUUUACUCUUUGAUCAACAAUCCAAGUGUUUAGUCAUAAAUUGUGUGUGCUCCCACCAGUGAAGUAAUAAAAUAUAAAUUGGUUUGUAAAAAGCAAACAUACGAAGAAAUUCCGGUAAUACAGAAGUUUCCAAUAAAAUCUGAAGAACAAUUAAUUGAAAUUGACAAGGAAAUAAAUGCUGAAAAUAGAAAUCAAUAUAUAAAAGCAAUGAAAUCAAUGCUAGAACCAGCCGGGGUUCACAAAAACUUAAAAUGCAUCCUAAACGACAAUGUUACCAUGGCCUACAAUGUCGACGGUGUUCAAGGGAAGAAAAGUUUUAAACAACUUAAAAACUUUAUGGUGUUCUGUUAGAAGCGGUCUCAAUGGCCAAAACAAAUAAUAUUGGUCCAGCGGAUGACCAAAUUCGGAAGGCAAUUCAAUUGCAGAAAAGGAGAAUUUUUAAAAAUAUGUCGGUGCAAAGACAUGCUGAUCAAAAAUAAGCCAGACAAAUAAAUUUCAGACGUUUAUUUUCAUUA
Musca domestica (house fly) is the source of this 829-nucleotide long non-coding RNA. RefSeq lists it as uncharacterized. The record is from RefSeq and is a predicted model, not a curated record. Lineage: Eukaryota; Metazoa; Arthropoda; Insecta; Diptera; Muscidae. The transcript has 3 exons.